GGGGGAUUAGUGGCGAACGGGUGAGUAACACGUGAGUAACCUGCCCUUGACUCUGGGAUAAGCCUGGGAAACUGGGUCUAAUACCGGAUACGACCAUCUGACGCAUGUCAUGGUGGUGGAAAGCUUUUGUGGUUUUGGAUGGACUCGCGGCCUAUCAGCUUGUUGGUGGGGUAAUGGCCUACCAAGGCGACGACGGGUAGCCGGCCUGAGAGGGUGACCGGCCACACUGGGACUGAGACACGGCCCAGACUCCUACGGGAGGCAGCAGUGGGGAAUAUUGCACAAUGGGCGCAAGCCUGAUGCAGCGACGCCGCGUGAGGGAUGACGGCCUUCGGGUUGUAAACCUCUUUCAGUAGGGAAGAAGCGAAAGUGACGGUACCUGCAGAAGAAGCGCCGGCUAACUACGUGCCAGCAGCCGCGGUAAUACGUAGGGCGCAAGCGUUAUCCGGAAUUAUUGGGCGUAAAGAGCUCGUAGGCGGUUUGUCGCGUCUGCUGUGAAAGACCGGGGCUCAACUCCGGUUCUGCAGUGGGUACGGGCAGACUAGAGUGCAGUAGGGGAGACUGGAAUUCCUGGUGUAGCGGUGAAAUGCGCAGAUAUCAGGAGGAACACCGAUGGCGAAGGCAGGUCUCUGGGCAUUAACUGACGCUGAGGAGCGAAAGCAUGGGGAGCGAACAGGAUUAGAUACCCUGGUAGUCCAUGCCGUAAACGUUGGGCACUAGGUGUGGGGGACAUUCCACGUUUUCCGCGCCGUAGCUAACGCAUUAAGUGCCCCGCCUGGGGAGUACGGCCGCAAGGCUAAAACUCAAAGGAAUUGACGGGGGCCCGCACAAGCGGCGGAGCAUGCGGAUUAAUUCGAUGCAACGCGAAGAACCUUACCAAGGCUUGACAUGAACCGGUAAUACCUGGAAACAGGUGCCCCGCUUGCGGUCGGUUUACAGGUGGUGCAUGGUUGUCGUCAGCUCGUGUCGUGAGAUGUUGGGUUAAGUCCCGCAACGAGCGCAACCCUCGUUCUAUGUUGCCAGCGCGUUAUGGCGGGGACUCAUAGGAGACUGCCGGGGUCAACUCGGAGGAAGGUGGGGACGACGUCAAAUCAUCAUGCCCCUUAUGUCUUGGGCUUCACGCAUGCUACAAUGGCCGGUACAAAGGGUUGCGAUACUGUGAGGUGGAGCUAAUCCCAAAAAGCCGGUCUCAGUUCGGAUUGGGGUCUGCAACUCGACCCCAUGAAGUCGGAGUCGCUAGUAAUCGCAGAUCAGCAACGCUGCGGUGAAUACGUUCCCGGGCCUUGUACACACCGCCCGU
This 1300-nucleotide ribosomal RNA is filed under the name Paenarthrobacter sp. Its description in RNAcentral is "bacterial SSU rRNA". It matches the Rfam family "Bacterial small subunit ribosomal RNA", at positions 86 to 1397 of the family's 1533-position model. Lineage: Bacteria; Bacillati; Actinomycetota; Actinomycetes; Micrococcales; Micrococcaceae. The record is from RNAcentral.